UAAACGAGGUGUGUUACAGGUUACAACUUCCUACUUAUUAUUGUAUUAACCCCUCGUUUCAUGUGUCUCUCCUCAGGCCGGUGGUGGCUGGUCCCCUUCAAGAAGGUGAGGUGCCUGAGGUCCCUCCGCCCCCUCUGGACAUCGAGUCAAUGGACAUAGCGAGUCAUAAUCUCAAGAUUUGGCUUUCUUUACUUGGCUACAGGGGUAGCGAGCAAAACACCAGCGUUCAGCGACCAGCUUGAGCGGUGGUACGCUGAAGUAAGAGCACUGGCUUUUGGAAAAACCUGCGGACUACCGGGCGAGCAAAGAGAGAGAGACAGCCUACCGCUGGUUCGGUCGAGCAGAGAGCACGAUCUCCGGCGGCUGAAGAGUGGUUCUUGAAUCGGCCAGAUACUGUUCCAUCCUCUUUUCUGCCAAUCAAGCAAAGAUGAGGACAACACCCAAACUGGCACGAUAACAGCGCCGUAUAAGAAGAGGACCCAAUUGUUCCAAAAGGCCCUGAUUUUGCUCCGCCGCGGUCCGCGCGGAGGCUGCCGCAGCUGUGGACAGCAACAGGUGGUAAGCACUCUAUGUUUUGCUCAUAGUAAAACCCCUCAGAUAAUAUAUUUUGAUAUCUUUGUGAAAUGACACGCUCUUCCUGG
RNAcentral lists this long non-coding RNA (641 nucleotides) under Oncorhynchus kisutch (coho salmon). RNAcentral describes it as "lncRNA (ENSOKIG00005045725.1)". The record is from RNAcentral. Lineage: Eukaryota; Metazoa; Chordata; Actinopteri; Salmoniformes; Salmonidae.